Molecule: non-coding RNA, 4386 nt
Organism: Oryctolagus cuniculus (rabbit)
Lineage: Eukaryota; Metazoa; Chordata; Mammalia; Lagomorpha; Leporidae
Source: RefSeq, a predicted model, not a curated record
GAGGUACUGUUGAAGAACAGGCAGAUCUCUUCUAUGGAAGUCAGGACAGCAGUUCCUUAUGGGGCGUUAGUGAUCAGGAAACACCAUCUUGGGUUGAUGGAAAUGUUCUAUACCUUGAGUUGUGGCCUGGAAAUUAAGAUAGAAUGUUGUGGGGAGCAAUCCGGACUAGACUAAGUUGCUCGAAUUAGGACUUAUUCUAUGCAUCUGCUCUCCCACAAUAUGGCGCUGGGAGAGAAGUAAACAGCUUCCGCACAGCUGCCUCCAGUUCAACCAAUUAACUGUAGGACUUGCUCCUGAUUGGAGAGCAGCGUACUCAGCCGAGUUGGGAUUGGCGGAGGAGGACUAUAAAGGAGGAGAGAGACGGCAUGCACCAGGAACAUCUAUGGGGAACAUCUAAGGGAACCCGUGCAGCCCCCGAGAGAGCCGGCCGGCGGUGUGCCGCUCCCCUGCGGAAGUGGGGAAUGUGGCCAGGGGGAACUGCCCUUCCACGGAGGUGGAAGGGAUAAUAGCCAACCCGGGAAGAACCAGCAGCGAACCCGGGGAGGGCCGAGCAGACUGAAAGAACAGCACAGGGUCCUGUGUCGUUCCCCCACGAAGACGGGGAGCGACAUAAUGGUGCCGUGACUCGGAUAGGAAACCUAGCUCGGAUAGGAAACUUAGGACGGAUAUGAAACCUAGGAGGGAAGAAAUGGGAAGAAACGGGAAGAAUUGGGAGAAUACCGGAGAGAGAGACUAGCAAACAGCCUAGGGAAAAGCCGGACGAAAAAGGGUGCCGGAAGAAGCUAUUGAAAGCCUAGGCAUAGACUUGGAUACGGACUACGGGGGGAAGCUGGGAGAAAUCUCUAAGGUCGAAAGCGAAAGUGAAAGCUAGAACAAACAGACUCGGACGUGGACUGUGGGGAGAGGCCAGGAGAAAUGAGGGAGGAAUAUCGUUGGAGGAAAGCUUGGGGAAACAUACCGGGUAGAGAAAAAUGUUAGGGAAAUUGAAGCCGCGGGGGGCAGGCCAAGGCGGAAACGAAAGCCACUUUGGGAUUCUCAAGUUAGCCCGGGAAUAGGGGGCGAAAAGUUAAAACCAGAAGCUGAGACGCAAGCCAGAUUGGGAUCCGUCUGAUUAGCCCGGGGAGCAAAGGACGGGAAGCCAAAUCGUGGGGCGGAGACGUACGCUGGGUUGAAUUCGCCAGGCUAGCCCGGGGAACUUAGAUUGAAUCCUAGUGGCGGAGACGCAAGCUACGCUGUGUUACUCGCGGAAGCCGCCGCGUGCAGAGAGAGCACGGGGCGUGAGUAGAUAGGGAACGGGGCUGGCGUAGGCCGUGGUUCAGACGCGAAAGGGUUAAGCGUGGAGACCGCGGAGCGCGCAAAGCCGGGAAGCCGCGCAGAUGAGGCGCGGGCUGAAGCGGCUCAGAGCCGGCGAGGCGCGGAGAAGCAGCCUCGGGGCGGAGCCCGCUGGCGGGGCGAGGCGCCGGGAAGCUGCGCGGAGCCGUGAAGCUACCGGCAGGGCGAGGCGCCGGGAAGCCGCGGGGAUAAGAGAAAACAGAAGUUUAGAAAUGGAAUGAGAGCGGGAAGCUGCGGGGAUAAGAGAAACAGAAGUUUUAGAAGUAAAGUGAGAGAAAUAGGAAUGCUGGCAGACAGAAGUAAAAUGGGAGAAAUAGAAAUGCCCGGAGAUAGAGAAAUAGAGAAAAAUAAGGCCUCCCCUCAACAUGCCAAUUAGGAGGCUUGGAUUCGGUCUGCCUGAUUUAAGGCGGUAAGCGCCAGCAAAGCUCGACCAGAGUAUGAGCUGCAGGUCACCGAAGACAGGCACGAAUUAACAUCAGUAAGGCCUCCCCACAAAAAGGCAAUGAGAAGGCUUGGAUUCGGUUUGCCUGAUAGGGCUUGUAAGCCCCUGCAGGCUCGACCAGAGCAUGCGCUGCAGGGCACCGAACACAGGCACGCAUCAGCGCCUAAAAACCUCCUCACAACAUGGCGAAGAGAGGACCCGGAUUCGGUUUGCCUGAUUGAUAGGACUUGUAAGAGCCUGUGGCAUCUCUAGCAAGUAGAGCAGAGUGUGUGCCGCGGGACACCGAAGACAGGCGCGUAUCAACGCCAAAAAUAAAAAGAAAGGGGGAUCUGUGGGGAGCAAACCGGACUAGACUGAGUUACUGGAAUUAAGACUUAUUCUAUGCAUCUGCUCUCCCACAAUAUGGCGCUGGGAGAGAAGUAAACAGCUUCCGCACAGCUGCCUCCAGUUCAGCUAAUAAACUGUAGGACUUGCUCCUGAUUGGAGGAGAGCAGCGUACUCGGCGUGUGGGCAGCUGAGUUAGGAUUGGCGGAGGAGGACUAUAAAGGAGGAGAGAGACGGCAUGCACCAGGAACAUCUAAGGGGAACAUCUAGCUGAAGGAACACCCGUGCAGCCCCCGAGAGACCCGGCCGGCGGUGUGCCGCUCCCCUGCGGAAGUGGGGAAUGCGGCCAGGGGGACCUGCCCUUCCACGGAGGUGGAAGGGAUAGUAGCCAACCCGGGAAGAACCAGCAGCAAACCCGGGGAGGGCCGAGCAGACAGAAAGAACAGCGCAGGGUUCAGUGUUGCUCCUCCAUGAAGAGGGGGAGCGACACAGCUUUUCCUGCACGCCACCGCACUGGCCCCUGCUCUAUAUUUUAAAGGCAAUAUCUUGGGGUUGGCGCUGUGGCAUAGCGGGUAAAGCCACCUCCUGCAGUGCUGGCAUCCCAUAUGGGUGCGGAUUGGCGCAGUUCUGGCCGUUGCAGCCAACUGAGGAGUGAACCAGUGGAUAGAAGACUUGUCUCUCCUUCUCUGCCUCUCUUUCUCUGUGUAACUCUGACUUUCAAAUAAAUAAAUAUUUUUAAAAAAGCAAUAUCUUUUAUCUAAGUGUCAAUUAUAAUAAUUUAAUUAAGGAUUUAUUCAUUUGAAACUCAGUGAGAGAAAGCGAGAGAGGAAAAUCUUCCAACUUCUCUUCACUCCCAAAUGGCCACAACAGCCGUGGCUGGGCCAAACUGAAGCCAGGAUCCUGGCACUGCAUCCAGGUCUCCCACAUGGGUGGCAGUGGUCCAGGUACUUGGGUCAUCUUUUGCUGCCUUCCCAGGUGUGUUAGCAGGAAGUUGCAUUGGAAGCAGAGCAACCAGAACUCAAAUUGGGAUGCUAGCAUCCCAAACAGCAGUUUAACCUUCUGAGCCACAAUUUGGCCCUUAUAAUACUAUUUUGAAACAUUUUCUGUGACAUGCUUUGUUCUAAUUUUAUUUCCCUAUAUGUUUUCUUUUUAUCUCUUAUUUGAUUAUGGUUAACCUUCUUCAAUAUCACAAUGGAUGUUAGUGUCCAUUCACAUGUACCAAAGUGCAUUAAUGAUGUGCAAUGAUUGGUUGCUUUAAAUGUUUGUGACAGAUAAGUGAAUGUUCAUUUUCUUUCUGCCUAUUUUUUCAAACUGAGAGUCAAAAUGUUGAGAAAUCAAGUUAGUAUGUUUUGACUACCACUUUUAAAAAAGAGAAAAUAGAAUGGGAAAAGAGGGCAUGGAAUGGAAUUGUGUAGAAUAAAGUAAAAAAUACCAGAAUGAUUCUAGUACAGGUUGACACUGAUUGAUGCAACUUUAAUUUCAGCCUUUUCUUUUUAAGAUUCAUUUAUUUAUCUGAAAAGCAGAGUUACAAAGGUGGAGGGAGAGACAGAGAGAGAGAUGUUCCAUCAGCUGGUUCACCACUGAAAUGGCAGCAAUGGCCAAGAGUGAGCCCAGCCAAAUCCAGUAGCCAGGAACUCCAUCCUUGUCUCCUACAUGGGUUACAGAGGUCCAAGUACUUAGGCCAUCAUCCACUGCUUUCCCAGGCACAUUAGUAGGGAGCUGGAUCCAGCAACAGCAGGAUCAUAUGGGGUGCUGGAGUAGCUGAUGGUGUCUUAAUCGACUGUGCCAAAACACAGGCCUGUAAUUUCAGUCUUUUAGGUUUAUAUUUACGUGUUGUUCGAGAUCACACAUAAAAUUUAUGUGUGUCUGAGAAUCACGCUAAAAAUGCUCAAAAUUCUCCAAUAAAAGAAGACAACAUUAGUCAGUUGACUGGAAAGGUGUGGGACGAUAAACUAACUCUUGGGUUAGGGUCCCAGGGGGCAGGACUAUCUGGGGCCACCCAUUUCUCAAGAGGAGAUCACAUGUGUCCUCACUGGGGAAUGUUCUAGUAUUCUGAGUUCAGGGUGGGCAACAGAGCCAGGAAGACUUUUAAUUCUUCAGCAUGAAUUUCUUAAUCUUCCUGUUCGGUCCUAUGUCGUCUUUAUUUGGCAUGAACUGUUGGCAUGAGCUAUGUUCUAUUUCGAUUACCUCCAUCAAAGAAGCUCCAAGAAUUUCCAAGACAACUCAGCAGUUUCUCUCACCUCACCAUUGCCUAACUAAUUUGGGGGUAAUAAAUGGUUACAAAUAAA